This 775-nucleotide ribosomal RNA is filed under the name uncultured Neocallimastigales. RNAcentral's name for it is "partial large subunit ribosomal RNA". It matches the Rfam family "Eukaryotic large subunit ribosomal RNA", at positions 24 to 616 of the family's 3401-position model. Lineage: Eukaryota; Fungi; Neocallimastigomycota; Neocallimastigomycetes; Neocallimastigales. The record is from RNAcentral.
UAUGUGAUCGUCUCUCGCAUAUCAAUAAGCGGAGGAAAAGAAACUAACAAGGAUUCCCCUAGUAACGGCGAGUGAAGCGGGAAGAGCUCAAAUUUGAAAUCUUAAAGGGUUUCCCUUUACGAAUUGUAGUUUAAAGAAGUGUUUUCUGUUGAGGUUUUGGUAAAAGUUCUUUGGAAUAGGACAUCAUAGAGGGGUGAGAAUCCCGUAUUUGACCUUUACUUUCAACUUUGUGAUACACUUUCAAAGAGUCGGAUUGUUUGGGAAUGCAGUCCAAAAUGGGUGGUAAAUUUCAUCUAAAGCUAAAUAUUGGCGAGAGACCGAUAGCGAACAAGUACCGUGAGGGAAAGAUGAAAAGAACUUUGAAAAGAGAGUUAAACAGUACGUGAAAUUGUCAAAAGGGAAGCGUUUGACACCAGUGUUGUUUUUCUGAAAAUCAAUUAAAGAACUGUUUAUGCUAAGCUGUUUAGACUUUAUCAGCUAUCUGUUUAGUUUUGAGCUUUUCUUUAAUGCACUUUUCAGUUAACAAGUCAACAUCAAUUUCUUUUGCUGUAAAAAAGCUUGAGGAAGGUGGCUUGAGAUUCGUCUUAAGUGUUUAUAGCCUCUUGCCUAUGCAGUCGGAGAGAUUGAGGUCUGCAGCGUAGAUCCUUCGGGGCUAAAUGCAUUUGUGCUAAGUUAUAGCAUUUUAUAGACAACUUGUUGACUAUGAUUUGUCUUGUAGCUUACUCGCUUAUGUUAUUUUACCUACGCUUAGGAUGUUGAGCGCAUGUCUCUCUCU